RNAcentral lists this ribosomal RNA (969 nucleotides) under Lactobacillus gasseri. RNAcentral describes it as "bacterial SSU rRNA". It matches the Rfam family "Bacterial small subunit ribosomal RNA", at positions 8 to 929 of the family's 1533-position model. Lineage: Bacteria; Bacillati; Bacillota; Bacilli; Lactobacillales; Lactobacillaceae. The record is from RNAcentral.
AGAGUUUGAUCAUGGCUCAGGACGAACGCUGGCGGCGUGCCUAAUACAUGCAAGUCGAGCGAGCUUGCCUAGAUGAAUUUGGUGCUUGCACCAAAUGAAACUAGAUACAAGCGAGCGGCGGACGGGUGAGUAACACGUGGGUAACCUGCCCAAGAGACUGGGAUAACACCUGGAAACAGAUGCUAAUACCGGAUAACAACACUAGACGCAUGUCUAAGUUUAAAAGAUGGUUCUGCUAUCACUCUUGGAUGGACCUGCGGUGCAUUAGCUAGUUGGUAAGGUAACGGCUUACCAAGGCAAUGAUGCAUAGCCGAGUUGAAGACUGAUCGGCCACAUUGGGACUGAGACACGGCCCAAACUCCUACGGGAGGCAGCAGUAGGGAAUCUUCCACAAUGGACGCAAGUCUGAUGGAGCAACGCCGCGUGAGUGAAGAAGGGUUUCGGCUCGUAAAGCUCUGUUGGUAGUGAAGAAAGAUAGAGGUAGUAACUGGCCUUUAUUUGACGGGUAAUUACUUAGAAAGUCACGGCUAACUACGUGCCAGCAGCCGCGGUAAUACGUAGGUGGCAAGCGUUGUCCGGAUUUAUUGGGCGUAAAGCGAGUGCAGGCGGUUCAAUAAGUCUGAUGUGAAAGCCUUCGGCUCAACCGGAGAAUUGCAUCAGAAACUGUUGAACUUGAGUGCAGAAGAGGAGAGUGGAACUCCAUGUGUACGCGGUGGAAUGCGUAGAUAUAUGGAAGAACACCAGGUGGCGAAGGCGGCUCUCUGGUCUGCAACUGACGCUGAGGGCUCGGAAAAGCCAUGGGGUUAGCGAACAGGAUUAGAUACCCUGGUAGUCCAUGCCGUAAACGAUGAGUGCUAAGUGUUGGGAGGUUUCCGCCUCUCAGUGCUGCAGCUAACGCAUUAAGCACUCCGCCUGGGGAGUACGACCGCAAGGUUGAAACUCAAAGGAAUUGACGGGGGCCCGCACAAG